CCGGGGGAGCUGGCUGGCAGGACGUGGGACUCACAUUUGCCUGCGUGCCCUGGAAACUCCCCACAGCUCCUUUCUCCUCAACUGCCUUUUCCGGGCCUCUAAUCUCCCGAUCAGGUUUCCAGAGCUGUGGAGUGUCCUCUGCUUGGAAACUCCCUAGUCAACAAUGGGAAAGUGGGGACACCUGCCUGUGAGGCUGGAAAGCUGGAAUUAGAACCACAGAACCCCAGAAAAACCACGAGCGCUGGGACCUAGGCCCUCAGGACCACCAUCUGGAGAAGCCUGUGGAAAGGGCAAGGGAGCCACUUGCCGCCAGUCCCGUCAGAGCAGCUCAGCUUGUCUCCUCCACUCAGCGAGCCUGUAGGACUGGACUGUUCGUCUCAUCUGCAGAUGAGAAGAGUGAACAUCAACAGGGAAAGUGACUUCCACGAGGACACACAGCCACACGGAGUAUAGGUCUCCGAAUUCUCCAAUCAAUUCCCAGGCAGGUCCACAUUUACAUUUGUUUCUCCUUUGAGCCCUGAUGUUGCCCUCAUUUGUUCUGUUAAUUCAAGUCUAAAAUGAGAGCGCUUAAAAAAAAAAAAAAAAAAAAAAAGUACAGCAAUGGCUCCUACGACGAACACCACUUCAACACCUUUGCCCGUGGCAGACACUGCUAAUCAAUCACAGACUUCCUUCCUGCUGAGCCAGAGCAAAGCUUCAGACUCGCCAACACAGCACUCUUGACAGUCAUUACCAAUUGAUCACAGAUGGUAGAUAAUCAAACCCAACCCUUCCAUUGUAUAGACAGAAUCUUCUAUCCAAACUUGCGUUAUUUCCAGACCUAGUUAUGAUUGGGAGACAGGGGUGCCCACAGCCAUCACAUGACUACAUGUCAACCUCCCUGCAGAUCCUCGUCAUAGAUUAUAGUGUCCCCGUGGGUAGAAUGGGGUCACAGCAGCAUCCAUCUUUCCCCACAUCCAAGAAACUACUCAACACGGACGUCUUGCUUAGAGUUGACCCCACAGCCUUGCCUUUGUGACUGGCAGUCAUGCCAACUUGUGGGGGAAGCAGAUGCUCUUAGCAUUCCACAUCGGCGGGUCUCAGUGUGGCAAAGGGCACCAGGGAAAGGUGUGGUAGAUAAUUAGUUACUAUCACAUUUAAAAAUCCCAAUCUGGAGGACGAUUUGGUUUUUAAUAUA
Molecule: long non-coding RNA, 1177 nt
Organism: Mirounga angustirostris (Northern elephant seal)
Lineage: Eukaryota; Metazoa; Chordata; Mammalia; Carnivora; Phocidae
Exons: 3
Source: RefSeq, a predicted model, not a curated record